Papilio xuthus (Asian swallowtail) is the source of this 632-nucleotide long non-coding RNA. RefSeq lists it as uncharacterized. The record is from RefSeq and is a predicted model, not a curated record. Lineage: Eukaryota; Metazoa; Arthropoda; Insecta; Lepidoptera; Papilionidae. The transcript is spliced from 2 exons.
GGAAACUUAGAAGAAGGACGGUUUGUAUGGAAAGUGGCGCCACCUUUUAUAUAAUGGUAAACAUCAUUUCAUCUCAUGGCUGAGAAGAAGCAUCAUUUCUGUCAUCGAGACAUUCAUGUGUCAUCAAACCGCUACGUUAUUUCGUAUUUCUAUUUCUGUUCUUGUAUUCUUAGUUAAAUGUUGUUUCAUUCAUUUUGUUUUUAAUUAAAAUGUGUUUUCGUGAAAAAUGACGCUGUACGCAACUGUGUUUUAGAUGGACUGAUUAUGGUGCACAUAUACACGGUUUCCCCCUUUCUGAGAGAAGGUCAGUGAAGUUCAGAAAAUGUGUGCCAAUCACUGGAAUUAUAGAGCCAUAAACUGAUGUGUCUGAAAUUAGUAGGUGGGUCCAUGUGUGUAUAUGUAAAAAUUAUAUUUUUUUAUUUGUAAUUUUUUAUUGUAAAGAAAAAUCUGCUUGCCUAUGUUGUAAGAGAAUAUGUUCAGAGUGUUUAAACUCGCAAAUAACUACAAAUUGCCAGUUGUCAGCUUGCAUGUGACUGAAAAUAUUUUGGGGUUUGGUUUUAAUUACAGGGUGUGCAUUCUUUUGUGACCGCGCUAUACUAUUUAUUACCGUAAAUGUAAUUUUCAAAUAUAUA